Molecule: ribosomal RNA, 910 nt
Filed under: Cunninghamella bertholletiae
Lineage: Eukaryota; Fungi; Mucoromycota; Mucoromycetes; Mucorales; Cunninghamellaceae
Description: eukaryotic LSU rRNA
Rfam family: Eukaryotic large subunit ribosomal RNA
Source: RNAcentral
AGCAGCUUACCCGGAUAGUAAACUAUAGUUUUCGAGUCGUUUAGUCAGCCAGGUAAAUAAGUCCUCUGGAAAGGGGCGACAUAGAGGGUGAAAUCCCCGUCUUUGGCCUGAGUUUUGAUUAGGCGUUUGGCUUGGAAACGAAGAGUCAGGUUGUUUGGGAAUGCAGCCUAAAAUGGGAGGUAAAUCUCUCCUAAAGCUAAAUAUUGACGAAAGACCGAUAGCGAACAAGUACCGUGAGGGAAAGAUGAAAAGCACUUUGAAAAGAGGGUCAAAAAGUACGUGAAAUUGCUGAAAGGGAACCGUAUGAAAUCAGAUCUACUGGUAGGUAAUCAAUCUUUCCUUUGGGAAGGAUGCACUUGCCUACUAUGUAUGCCAGCGACAUUUUGGUUGGGAGGAAAAAAAUAAAGGAAAUGUAGCUUAGGUUUCGGCUUAGGUGUUAUAGUCCUUUAUAAAAUACUCUCGGCUGGAAUGAGGAACGCAGCAAACCGUAAGGCGAAGAUUUCAGGCGCUUAGAGGGAAUAAUUAGAGAAUUUCUGCUUCGGGUGGUGCUUUGAUUAUUACCUUUAACACGCUUGGAGUUCUUUUAAUUUGCUUAGGUUGUUGGCUUAAUGAUUUUAUAUGACCCGUCUUGAAACACGGACCAAGGAGUCCACCAUAGGCGCGAGUCUUUGGGUGUAAAAACCCAUGGGCGGAAGGAAAUUGACUAAGAUACCAAGGCGCAAGCUGGCAGUAUCCCCCGGCGUAGACGUUUUUAUACUGAAAUGACUGAGGGCAAGCGCUUAUGAUGGGACCCGAAAGAUGGUGAACUAUACUUGAAUAGGGUAAAGCCAGAGGAAACUCUGGUGGAAGCUCGCAGCGAUUCUGACGUGCAAAUCGAUCGUCAAAUUUGAGUAUAGGGGCGAAAGACUAA